Long non-coding RNA from Rosa rugosa (rugosa rose), 2408 nucleotides. RefSeq lists it as uncharacterized. The transcript is spliced from 2 exons. The record is from RefSeq and is a predicted model, not a curated record. Lineage: Eukaryota; Viridiplantae; Streptophyta; Magnoliopsida; Rosales; Rosaceae.
AAUCUCUCUCUCUCUCUCUCUCAUUCUUUCUUCUCUUCUUUCUCCCUCUUUCCAGAUCUUUCCACGUGAUAUGAUUAUACAAGUUAGCCAGAGUCCACAGGUUCUCGAAGCUUUUGAACACGAUGCCAGGUUCUUUGUUUGCUGAUUCAAUGCCAAGUAACCAGGUUCUCGAAGCUUUUGAACGCGAUGCUAGUUGCCAUAAACAUCCAAGCUACCCAAAAGUAUUUUCAAAUCAAUUCACUAGUCAUCGAUCUCAUAAACAGAUCUGAUCUCCAAAAAGAAAACAAUGCAAGUUUUGGAUGCCAAUAAUUAACCAGACCUUGCCAAAGGGGAAGAACUGCGCUUGCCUUUAAACUGAAGAGGUUCCAGUUAGAUGGUUCCUACCAGCCCAUCCACCAGAUCCCAAAAGGAUUUAUCGUUUUGUUGUAGUAUAUAUGACUCAUGUUGUAGUAUGUAUGAGUCAUAGUAUAAAUGUCUAUAUCAUGUAAUAAGUACUUGAGUGUAUAGAUAGGUACUUGAGUGUAUAAACAUAGGUACUUGAGUGUAUGAAGACUUGUGUGACAUGCUUUAUACCAAGAGGCAACAAGCAUGGCAGAUUUCAUCAUUGAAUGCAAGUAUGUGGAGCUGCAGCCCUCAAUCAACAAGAGAAGAUUGUUACCAAAUUGAGUUUCUCUUAGAGCUUUCACACUAGCUAUGUAUUCCUAUAAAUACACUCCUUUGUGAGAAGAAUAAUACACAUGAAUUCUCAUUCUCUCUGAAUCGAAACUCUCUCUCUCUCUCUGUCAAUUUUGAUUAUCCUUAAACACGUUAUCAGCACGAAGUUGCUCUAGAAUUAGAAUCGAAAAUUGACAAGAGUAGAGUUCAUCAUCAAUCGAAGUCAUUUUUCCAAACCUACAAAAAACCUCCAAAACCUAGCUCAUAUCAAAGCCAUUGAUCCCAGAAACCCAGAACCGGCCUCAGAAUCGCCGGAACCGGCCGGAAAAGGCCUGAACCGGCCGCCGGAAUUUUUGAACAGAACCAGACCGCUGCCAAGUGCUGCCGAGACCCUGCGCAGCAGCUGACGAGAAGCUGCGCAGCAGCUGCCGAGCGACCUGCGCAGCAGCUGCCGAGAAGCUGCGCAGCAGCUGCCGAGUCACCUGCCAAACACUUUUAAGUGAUUUUCCUGUGCAGAUCAGCCUGUUUACACGCCCCGAAACAUCUUGAUAGGGACCUCAGAUCAAAAUCCUUCCUUCAUCAAAGUUGUUCGUCUAUGUCUCUUCUAUCUGACCUCCAAAUUGUAGCCCUGUUGGAGUAGUUUUGAGACCUGUACACCAUUCGAAGUGGGAGCUGUUCAGCACGCUCGUUCCUGUGCAGAUCAGCCUGUUUGCACACCCUGAAACAUCUUGUUCAGCACCUUUAAUCAAAAUACUUUCUUCAUCAAAGUUCUUCAUAUAUGUCUUUUCUAUCUGACUUCAAAAUUUCAGCCCUGUUGAAGUCGUUUUAAGACAUGUACACCAUUCAAAGUGGGAGCUAUUCAGUAUGAUCGUUCCUGUGCAGAUCAACCUGCUUGCACGCCGAUAAACGUCCUUUUCGGGACAUCUAAUCAAAAUCAUUUCUUCAUCAAAGUUGUUAAUCUCUGUCUCUUAUAUCUUAUCUCCAAAUUUCAGCCCUGUUGGAGCAGUUUUGAGACCUGUAUAACAUUUGAAGUGCGAUCUGUUCAGAAGCAAAUUUGCUCCGAAUUUCAACAAGAUGUCGAAUGAACCUAGACUCGACUUUCCAAUGCUUGACUCAACAGGCUCGGAAUACCAUGGCUGGGUAACCAACGUUGAGAACCAUCUCACUACGAGAGGGAUAUUGCCCAUAAUACAGGCACCUAACCAGGGCCUUGUGUUCCAACGAACACCCACAAAGCAUGCUGCUCAAGUAAUUAUCUUGAUGUGAUACCAUAUGGAUCAAUUGAAGCAUUGGUUCAAGCAAUGCCAUGCAAGUACCCAACUAGCUGCAAGCUACAAGGAGUAUAGGCAAUUGAGAGAGCAAGAAAUCAAUCUUGCUGAAGAUGAAGAUAUCAAUCUUGCUGAAGAUGAAGAUGGUGAAGAUAUCACUCUCACCACUGAGGACUUCAAAGCUGUAAAGAGCACGAGGAUGCCGCAGACUUUGAUUAGAAUAGUCCUUUUCUAUUUUCCAAUAAAACGGCAAAUGUGCCUUAGUCAACAAAUGACAAUUGUAUUGACUCUUUCUCAUGUGGCGUACCCAAUGAAGUAUGAUGUCUAGGAAAGUAAUUGAGAUCGGGGUAUUUAAGCGAGCCUCGCUCCACCAACAUCUCUCUACUUCCCUGGUCAUAUUUCAUUGGAAUUACCAAACGGAUUGGCAAUUACAAUUUGUAUAAGUUUGAUUUUAUUUUGGAAUAGAUUUUGGAAACUUUGAUGUAA